This is a long non-coding RNA of Mus musculus (house mouse), 2321 nucleotides long. RefSeq annotates it as predicted gene 16244. The transcript has 2 exons. NCBI's taxonomy places the organism in Eukaryota, Metazoa, Chordata, Mammalia, Rodentia, Muridae. The record is from RefSeq and is a predicted model, not a curated record.
AAACUCCUCUUGGGAGGCCAGGGAACAGAGCGCUGUUGCACCUUCCUACCGGGUUACGGGGUUCCUACCAGCCAGGUCGCAACCUCAGCCCAGUAGGCUCAUCUUAAGGACAAGAACGGUGGGUAGGUGUUAUUCUUAUUUCCCGGCUUCAAAUAACAAGAGAAAUAAGCUGCCUCUGGAAUCCUCCCAUUUUGAUAACAGGCAAGAAGAAUCUAAGGCGGAGGAGGAAGGUUUGAUCCUGGGGAUUUUGAAAGCAAUGAAACUCUGAGCCUGGCUGCACCAUUCUCGGGCUUGCCUUGAUGGUAACUUCCGGAGGAAACUUUGAAGAGAAGGGCGAUUCUGAGAAAAAUCCCCUGCACCCACUUUUACCACCCGGGUCACAGUUCUCUCAUUGUCCCUAGCAAACUGUCCCCGUGGCCUCUGUCCCGCCUAACACAGCUCAGUUGGGGGGUGGGUGCGAGGGGUGGGGACUAUAGCCUGUGAUGCUCCAGCAGGAGCAGCUGGCCUAGGAGGGAGUCUCUCCCUGCGCCGCUUAGCACCGCCUCACUGCGUGGCUCCGCCCAAUAGCUGCUUAGCACUCUUUCAACGACACCCAGAAAUUCUGACGUACCCUCCCCCUCUCCUCCCGGGGACGAAGGCCUGGCUUGUGACGCCCGCUCCAAAAGGCAUGAGACUGAUGCGGGUUUCCCCGGGUGCCCGGGCCUCUCCAAACUGGGAGAGCUUGCCGGAGGUGCCCACCGAGGGGCGACCCAGGACUGCGCUUGGUCACCCACGAUGCCCACGUACCGGAUCCGCGGCUCGCACCGCCCAGCGUGUAGCCAGCCUGCGGCGCGCUUCCGGGUAGGACACGUGACUCAGCCACAUGACCGGGGCCUGCUUUGUGGGUUCGAGCCCCGCCCCGUCAGGCAUUGCUCACCCUUCAGGCUACUGUGCUUGCUGGUCACCCGCCGCUAGGGAGCCGUGCCACGUUCACCCUGGCAUAAGUAGGUAUCUCACUGCCUUUAGAGGCACCAGCUGAGCCGGUGACAUUUCUAGAGUCUCUUUUGCUUGAUUUAGCUAAAGGGAUUCCCCACAGAUUUACAGAAGGGGCAACUGAGAACCCCGAGGGAACCCCCUUGCUGAAGAAGGAACAAAUGGAACCAGAACCCAGGUUUCCUUGCACCUUCACCUGGCCCUUCCCAGCCUUUCGUUUUCUUGCCGAAUCUAGUUGUAGGUGAAAGGUACCCUUUUUGUGGGUGCUUUCCCUUACUUACCUCCAGGGGGCGGAACCCGUGUGUCUUAGUCAGGGUUUCUAUUCCUGCACAAACAUCAUGACCAAGAAGCAGUUUGGGGAGGAAAGGGUUUAUUCGGCUUACACUUCCAUACUGUUGUUCAUCACCAAAGGAAGUCAGGACUGGAACUCGAGCAGGUCAGGAAGCAGGAGCUGAUGCAGAAGCCAUGGAGGGAUGUUCUUUACUGGCUUGCUCAGCCUGCUCUCUUAUAGAACCCAAGACCACCAGCCCAGAGAUGGUCCCACCCACAAGGGGCUUUUCCCCCUUGAUCACUAAUUGAGGAAAUGCCUUACAGCUGGAUCUCAUGGAGGCAUUUCCUCAACUGAAGCUCCUUUCUCUGUGAUAACCCCAGCUGUGUCGAGUUGACACAAAACCAGCCAGUACACCAUGCAGAAGAGCCCAGCUACCUUUGGGCUCCUUGAUUUACAAAGGUUCCCAGUCUGACUGAGGGCUGCAUACACAUUAGGGCUUUUGUCUUGAACCUGCGAGUGAUUGCAUACUAUCAAGAUUUUUAUGUGUAUUUGGAGGGGCAGAAAGAGUGAAGAAGGCCAAUGGAGUCCACAGAAGAGGUUGGGCGCCUACCACAGGUCCUCAUUGGGUACCUUGGUGCUUCUGAGAAACUUUGUGUACGACCCAGCAUGAGCACUCCGCACCCACUAGGCAGAGGCCAAGAGCCAGUGCUGCGGCCACUCUAGCUACCUAAGGUACAAUUAAACAACAUCGCAAACGCCUGCGCCUGCGCCUUCGCCACCACCCUGCUCAGCCAGGCUCCACAGUACAGCCACAAGCAUCAGUCUCCUGGAGUCCUGAAUCUGCCGACACUAUCCUGACUUCGGUCGGUCAUUUCCCCCUUGUUUCAAACAGUUUGUAAGCCUGAAUAACUGUUACCCGUGAACAAUUUAUAACUAAUCUAGUCCAUGUUACCUGAUGCUAGUGACUUGUGUCUUGCAGAUGACUAAAGAAUGGCGCCGAUCAUCUCUUCAUGUGGUUUUUCUCUUCAUUUGUGUAGCUUUAAAAUUUUUUUUGCUUUCAAAUAAACAUUUAUUCAUA